UGUGACGGCGUGCCUUUUGUAGAAUGAGCCAGCGAGUCGCUGGCGCGGGGCGAGGUUAACCGAAAGGGAGCCGGAGCGAAAGCGAGCCUUAACAGGGCGACUUGAGUCCCGCGCCGCGGACGCGAAGCCGGGUGAGCUAUCCGUGGGCAGGCUGAAGCGGGGGUAAGACCCCGUGGAGGGCCGAACGCACGUCGGUUGAAAACGGCGGCGAUGACCUGCGGAUAGGGGUGAAAGGCCAAUCAAACCCGGAGAUAUCUCGUUCUCCCCGAAAUAGCUUUAGGGCUAGCGUCGCGCGUUCACCGCCGGAGGUAGAGCACCGGAUGGACGAGGGGGCUUCGCCGCCUACCGAAUCCAACCGAACUCCGAAUGCCGGCGGCCCAGAGCGCGGCAGUCAGAGCAUGUGGGCUAAGCUGUGUGCUCGAGAGGGAAACAGCCCGGACCGCCCGCUAAGGUCCCCAAGUUCCAGCCGAGUGGCAAAGGAUGUGCGUCCGCCCAGACAACCAGGAUGUUGGCUUAGAAGCAGCCAUCCAUUCAAAGAGUGCGUAACAGCUCACUGGUCGAGUGGACAUGCGCCGACAAUACACGGGGCUAAGCUGGACACCGAAGCGGCGGGAUUUUGAUUUUCAGAAUCGGUAGGGGAGCUUCCCAUGGGCGGUGAAGCCGGAGGGCGACCGGCGGUGGAGCGCAUGGGAGUGAGAAUGCUGGCAUGAGUAGCGAGAGACGAGAGAGUAACUCGUCCGCCGUGAACCCGAGGUUUCCUGGGCAAGGCUAAUCCUCCCAGGGUCAGUCGGGGGCUAAGGCGAGGCCGGAAGGCGUAGCCGACGCGCAGCAGGCAGACAUUCCUGCACCGCGCACGCGGCGCUACGACCGACGGGGCGACGGAUGGGGGUGGCUCGGCGGGGUUCUGGACGUCCCCGUGAUGGAGCGCGGCCCGCGGACCAGGGAAAUCCGGUCCGCACGAGGGCGAGGCUCCGGACGAAGC
This 982-nucleotide ribosomal RNA is filed under the name Collinsella aerofaciens. RNAcentral's name for it is "partial 23S ribosomal RNA". It matches the Rfam family "Bacterial large subunit ribosomal RNA", at positions 592 to 1574 of the family's 2925-position model. The record is from RNAcentral. Lineage: Bacteria; Bacillati; Actinomycetota; Coriobacteriia; Coriobacteriales; Coriobacteriaceae.